RNAcentral lists this long non-coding RNA (764 nucleotides) under Mytilus galloprovincialis (Mediterranean mussel). The record is from RNAcentral. Lineage: Eukaryota; Metazoa; Mollusca; Bivalvia; Mytilida; Mytilidae.
GUCUGAUUCAUCUGAAAAUUUCAGGGCAGAUAGAUCUUGACCUGAUAAACAAUAUUACCCCAUGUCAGAUUUGCUCUAAAUGCUUUGGUUUUUGAGUUAUAAGCCAAAAACUGCAUUUGACCCCUAUGUUCUAUUUUUAGCAAUGGCAACCAUGUUUGUUGAUAGAUCAAAACUUCGGAUACAAUUUAUAAAUUAGAUACCCUAAGGAACAUUCAGUUAAAGUUUGAAAGUAUUUGGCCCAGUAGUUUCAGAGGAGAAGAUUCUUGAAAUAGUUUACGACAACAGACGACGACGACGGACGACGACGGACGCCAAGUGAUGGCAUAAGCUCACUUUGAGCUAAUAAAAAUGCAGACAGAGAUUACAACUAAAAAAAAAUGCAGGACAAAAUUUUUCAUCCUAGCCCCCCCAUAAAAAUCAAAUGGUAGCUCCCUAACGUACAUCAUAUCACGAUUUCAAAGCGUUCAACAUCGAUUUCAAACAAAUGCUUUGAAACUCUAAAUGCAAGUGUUCAUGUCAAACGCUCACGUGAUACCAAACAGACUAGACGUUAUACGAUAAAGGUAAAACCCGAGGAUUCCGGUAAAAAAAAGUUUUGAGCGGGAAAUACAAAUAUAAGAUUUUUGGUAGGAACGAAAACAUAAAAUAAAAUAAAAUCUUGCUGGUAAAUACAAAUAAAAGAUUUUCAGGCGGAAUGAAUUUAUAGGGUCGGUCGGUAAAGGGCAAACAAACAAUAUUUUAAUUUAAGCCUUAACUUGAGGAAU